GACGAACGCUGGCGGCGUGCUUAACACAUGCAAGUCGAACGGAAAGGCCCUGCUUUUGUGGGGUGCUCGAGUGGCGAACGGGUGAGUAACACGUGAGUAACCUGCCCUUGACUUUGGGAUAACUUCAGGAAACUGGGGCUAAUACCGGAUAGGAGCUCCUGCUGCAUGGUGGGGGUUGGAAAGUUUCGGCGGUUGGGGAUGGACUCGCGGCUUAUCAGCUUGUUGGUGGGGUAGUGGCUUACCAAGGCUUUGACGGGUAGCCGGCCUGCGAGUGUGACCGGCCACAUUGGGACUGAGGUACGGCCCAGACUGCUACGGGAGGCAGGGGUGGGGAAUAUUGCGCGAUGGGCGGAGGCCUGAUGCAGCGACGCCGCGUGCGGGAUGACGGCCUUCGGGUUGUAAACCGCUUUCGCCUGUGACGAAGCGUGAGUGACGGUAAUGGGUAAAGAAGCACCGGCUAACUACGUG
Molecule: ribosomal RNA, 468 nt
Filed under: uncultured bacterium
Lineage: Bacteria
Description: partial 16S ribosomal RNA
Rfam family: Bacterial small subunit ribosomal RNA
Source: RNAcentral